UUAUGUGGUGAGUUAAGGUU
This 20-nucleotide non-coding RNA is filed under the name Arabidopsis thaliana (thale cress). The record is from RNAcentral. Lineage: Eukaryota; Viridiplantae; Streptophyta; Magnoliopsida; Brassicales; Brassicaceae.